GUUGUAUGGUUAAGUGACUAAGCGUACACGGUGGAUGCCUUGGCAGUCAGAGGCGAUGAAAGACGUAGUAACUUGCGAUAAGCCCAGAUUAGGUAGUAACAACCAUUUGAGUCUGGGAUUUCUGAAUGGGGAAACCCACUUACAUAAGUAAGUAUCAUUAACUGAAUACAUAGGUUAAUGAGGCGAACCGGGGGAACUGAAACAUCUAAGUACCCCGAGGAAAAGAAAUCAACCGAGAUUCCGAAAGUAGCGGCGAGCGAAAUUGGACUAGCCCUUAAGCUUUACACGCGUUAGACGAACGGUCUGGAAAGUCCGACGAUACAGGGUGAUAGUCCCGUAGUUGACGACGUGUGUUCAGUGAAAUCGAGUAGGGCGGGACACGUGAUAUCCUGUCUGAAUAUGGGGGGACCAUCCUCCAAGGCUAAAUACUACUGACUGACCGAUAGUGAACCAGUACCGUGAGGGAAAGGCGAAAAGAACCCCUGUGAGGGGAGUGAAAUAGAACCUGAAACCGUGUACGUACAAGCAGUAGGAGCAGGCUUGUCCUGUGACUGCGUACCUUUUGUAUAAUGGGUCAGCGACUUAUAUUCAGUGGCAAGGUUAACCAUCUAGGGGAGCCGUAGGGAAACCGAGUCUUAACUGGGCGUUCAGUCUCUGGAUAUAGACCCGAAACCAGGUGAUCUAGCCAUGGGCAGGUUGAAGGUUGAGUAACAUCAACUGGAGGACCGAACCGACUAAUGUUGAAAAAUUAGCGGAUGACUUGUGGCUAGGGGUGAAAGGCCAAUCAAACCUGGAGAUAGCUGGUUCUCCCCGAAAGCUAUUUAGGUAGCGCCUCGGACGAAUACUACUGGGGGUAGAGCACUGUUAAGGCUAGGGGGUCAUCCCGACUUACCAACCCUUUGCAAACUCCGAAUACCAGUAAGUACUAUCCGGGAGACACACGGCGGGUGCUAACGUCCGUCGUGGAGAGGGAAACAACCCAGACCGCCAGCUAAGGUCCCAAAUUACUACUAAGUGGGAAACGAUGUGGGAAGGCUCAGACAGCCAGGAUGUUGGCUUAGAAGCAGCCAUCAUUUAAAGAAAGCGUAAUAGCUCACUGGUCGAGUCGGCCUGCGCGGAAGAUGUAACGGGGCUAAGUAGUAAACCGAAGCUGCGGCAAUAUACUUUUGUAUAUUGGGUAGGGGAGCGUUCUGUAAGCGGUUGAAGGUGUGUGGUAACGCAUGCUGGACGUAUCAGAAGUGCGAAUGCUGACAUGAGUAACGAUAAAGGGGGUGAAAAACCUCCUCGCCGGAAGACCAAGGGUUCCUGUCCAACGUUAAUCGGGGCAGGGUAAGUCGACCCCUAAGGCGAGGCCGAAAGGCGUAGUCGAUGGGAAACGGGUUAAUAUUCCCGUACUUCUUACAAUUGCGAUGGGGGGACGGAGAAGGCUAGGUGGGCCUGGCGACGGUUGUCCAGGUUCAAGUGCGUAGGCUUAAGAGUUAGGUAAAUCCGGCUCUUUUUAAGGCUGAGACACGACGUCGAGCUACUACGGUAGUGAAGUCAUUGAUGCCAUGCUUCCAGGAAAAGCCUCUAAGCUUCAGAUUGUAAGGAAUCGUACCCCAAACCGACACAGGUGGUCGGGUAGAGAAUACCAAGGCGCUUGAGAGAACUCGGGUGAAGGAACUAGGCAAAAUGGUACCGUAACUUCGGGAGAAGGUACGCUCU
Molecule: ribosomal RNA, 1704 nt
Filed under: Vibrio parahaemolyticus
Lineage: Bacteria; Pseudomonadati; Pseudomonadota; Gammaproteobacteria; Vibrionales; Vibrionaceae
Description: bacterial LSU rRNA
Rfam family: Bacterial large subunit ribosomal RNA
Source: RNAcentral